This 621-nucleotide ribosomal RNA is filed under the name uncultured bacterium. RNAcentral's name for it is "bacterial SSU rRNA". It matches the Rfam family "Bacterial small subunit ribosomal RNA", at positions 9 to 593 of the family's 1533-position model. The record is from RNAcentral.
GAGUUUGAUCCUGGCUCAGGAUAAACGCUGGCGGCGCACAUAAGACAUGCAAGUCGAACGGAAGUCGUUGUAAUGAUGUGGACAUGGACAGAGAACUUGUUCGAAGAAAGUGAAAAUUGACUUACAACAAUGGCUUUAGUGGCGGACUGGUGAGUAACGCGUGAGCAACCUGCCUGUUAGAGGGGAAUAACAGUGAGAAAUCAUUGCUAAUACCGCAUAUGCCAUAACUAUCACAUGAUAGAAGUGGGAAAGGAGUAAUCCGCUAACAGAUGGGCUCGCGUCUGAUUAGAUAGUUGGUGGGGUAACGGCCUACCAAGUCUACGAUCAGUAGCCGGACUGAGAGGUUGAACGGCCACAUUGGGACUGAGAUACGGCCCAGACUCCUACGGGAGGCAGCAGUCGGGAAUAUUGCGCAAUGGAGGAAACUCUGACGCAGUGACGCCGCGUAUAGGACGAAGGUCUUCGGAUUGUAAACUAUUGUCGUUAGGGAAGAGAAAGGACAGUACCUAAGGAGGAAGCUCCGGCUAACUACGUGCCAGCAGCCGCGGUAAUACGUAGGGAGCAAGCGUUAUCCGGAUUUAUUGGGUGUAAAGGGUGCGUAGACGGGAAAUUAAGUUAGUU